This is a long non-coding RNA of Pan troglodytes (chimpanzee), 3154 nucleotides long. RefSeq lists it as uncharacterized. The record is from RefSeq and is a predicted model, not a curated record. NCBI's taxonomy places the organism in Eukaryota, Metazoa, Chordata, Mammalia, Primates, Hominidae. The transcript is spliced from 3 exons.
AAUACUUUUUUUUUGAGACACGGUCUGGCUCUGUUGCCCAGGCUGCAGUGCGGUGGUGUGACCUUGGCUCACUGCAACCUCUACCUCCUGGGCUCAAGCCAUCCUCCCACCUCAGCCUCCAGAGUAGCUGGGACUACAGACACAUGCCACCACGUCUGGAUAAUUUUUGUCUUUUUUUUUUGUAGAGAUGGGUUUUCCCCAUUGUCUCGUCUGGUCUUGAACGCCUGAGCUCAAGCCAUUCGCCUGCCUCGGCCUCUCAAAGUGCUGGGAUUACAGGCAUAAGCCACCAUGCCUGGCCUCAAAAGAAUUAAAACGGUUAAUGAGUUAAAACAAGAUUAAGUCUGUACAUUAUAUAAUGUAGAAGCUUCUGUGGAAAACUCCCCAGCCCUAUGUGGACGACAUCACAUCUGAUUUAUCCUUGUGGUCUACACUGCUGGGUGCUCAGCCUUCUCCUGAGAGAUGCUGUGAAACUUCUCUACCACCUGGAACAGGAGAAGAGAGGCCCACGUGGGGGCAGAGACCUCUGUCCAGAGUCCAGUGGCAGCUGGAGGUGAACAUCAGCGAUACAGAAGUCAAAUGGAGGCAUCAACACAGGACGGUUAUGGCGGAAACGGUGCGCAGUUUCUUACAGUCAGCUGAGAGUGAAAAAAAAUCAUGGGAAAAAAGAACACAAAUAAAGCAAUCCUUAAAUGCCUUAAAGGAAUGAUCAACAUUCUGGUAAUAUUUUUGAAGUGAAACAAUUUCACGGUGUAUGAAGGCCUUGAACGUGCUUUGCUGUCUUUCUAUCGUUUUACGUGUAACAUGACAAGGCGUGAGGCCUGCAUUGGCGUCACCCUCAGCCCGUCCUUCUUUCCUUUGGAUCAAGGACUCUGACUUUCAGGCCGUCAGCUGCUCUGCUUUCAGAGGUGAUAAAUUACUUUGGAAAGAAUUACUCCCUUGCCUCUUGCAAAAACAAGACAUAGGUGGGUGUUAAUUCAUACUUGAGGGUUAUCAAUGGAAAAGUAUAAACGUAUGGCCCUGUUUCCACAAGGACAGGCAUGAUUGAGGGCCGGCAGGAUCUAGGAGCUUCCAUCAGGCCUUUGACAAAGAGCGCUCGCUCGGGGGUCACUGCGUGUCAGGAGGGGCUGAGUUACCGCUUCUCAUCUUCCACUUGCACCCCGACAGAGUGGUAUUCCCGCAGACCGCGGCUCUCCGUGUCAGAAUCUGUGGCCGUUUCCACCUAAUUCAACAGAGAACGUCUUAUUUUAGAACUGAAACAUGGGGCCUGGGCAAGGGACUAUUUUGUUGUUGUUGUGGAUUUGCUGUAAUUAAUUACGCAUUUGUUUAAUUAAUGCAGCGGUGCACUUGACCCAGUAAAACCGCAGAGAGGGAAAUGCAUUCACACUGGAGUAAUUACAUCGCUCCUGCGUCUCAUCACAUUUUACAUAACUACCUGAACUCAAGGCUGCACUUUGGUCUUUUAAAUGUAUGCAAAUAAAACUGCUUAGUUCAGCUCAGGCAAAAAAUAGGUGUUGUUGAACUGCAUUAUAACGGGACUUAAAAGCUCUUAUCACGCCCUAUGGUGAACCAAGUACAGCAUGAACCAAACAUAGCUAAUGACAACAAAUAAGCGAUUUAAUAGACUUAUACUGAUGGCUGCAUCCACAUACAGAAAGACACAGAAAGGAAUUUCAGCACUGAUGAGAAACAGAGGCAAACUCUCCACCUUCAUCUCCAUAGAGCUGUCUCACAUCUGCUAAGAGGAUGGCCAGCAGGGUGACGUCAGAUCAGAACAGAAAUCAUGUAUUCCACAGAGAAUUCUGAUUGUGGCUGUAUUUGCCAAAAAGUCCCCACAAACCCAACAAGCGUUGCAAUGAUCAUCAGCUAUGUGAAGUUAUCCCGCAAGGGAAUUCUAGUACAGUACGUUUUCUAAAAAAAAAAAAACAAAACCAAACCAAGUAGGAAAACUGUGAAACCAAAGGUUAGUUAAGCCAUUGAUAUGAUUCCAGGCACUCAGUCAUUCCUCUUUCCAGAAAAGUAUUACCUAUUGUAUCAAAAGGACUUUUGAGCCCUCUCUGAAGUGUCAUAGCUAAGUUAUAAAAUCUCUCUCUUCUUAAAAAUAUUACUGAUCACUACAAGGAAAAGGUGCAAAGCAUGAAAUACUUCUGACCCUGUCCCCUGUGAGGCAAGAGAGAGGAGCUGCACGUUAACCUUUGAGUUGCAGUUUGUGACUAUCCUAAGGUUAAGCCUGUGUCAACGAGGACUGGCUCAGAUUUGUGGCUAAGAGAAGUACUGAUGGUAACAGCGAAGACUUAUUUGGUGCGUACCCUGCCCCAGGCACUAUGCUGAGGUUCCAGCGUUAUCACGUGUAAUCCACACAAUAACCCCAAGGAUGUUUCCAGCCCCAGGAGAGAGCUGGGGGGAUCAGAGGAGGGGGGUGACUUGCUCAGGAGCGCCCCCUGGUUGGGGCCAGGGCUAGGGCUCUUGCCCGGAUCUCUCUGACCCCAGAGCCGUGUGCGGCACAGAAGACAGAGCGCGAGAAAACCCUGGAGCUCUCGGCCGCCGUGGAUCCAGGGGAACGGACAGAGACGUCCACUUUCGCCGGGUGGAAUUCUGAAGACAGGCGCAGAAGCGGUCCCUAGAUCGGGAUGCGUGUUUGCAGAAGCUGACCCUAGACUGGGAUGCGUGUUCUGAUAGCUGUGUGAGACGGGCUACAGGAGGAAGAACAUUCUUGAGUGAAGAUCCUGGCCUUCCUGUCAGAAUUUACCAUUCCCGUUUCUAGUUUUAAGUGGGUCACGACUUUAUUAAACCUUACCUUGCUCGACAUAAACAUGAUUAGUGUUAUUUUACACAAAGGAUUGUAAUACAAUUAAUACAUUUAAAAUUCCAUGUCUGUACAUAUGGAGCUGCCUCGUGUUUUAAGUGCAAAGGAUUCCAUUUUAUGAGUAUAGCCUAGUGCAUUUAAUGAGCCUUCAGUGCAGGGGAAAUUUGGUUAUUUCUAGUUUUCUGCCAUUAUAAAUGAUGCUGCUAUAUAAACACAUGUCUGUACUUGUGUGAAAACUUCUCUGAAUAUAUUCACCAGAUGGGAGGUCUGGGUCAGAGGUAUUUGCACUUUAUAAUUUUGGUAGAUAUUGCCAAAUCUGAUAUGAGUGAAAUAAAUGAAUACUUUUAAAGA